This 2901-nucleotide ribosomal RNA is filed under the name Escherichia coli. RNAcentral's name for it is "bacterial LSU rRNA". It matches the Rfam family "Bacterial large subunit ribosomal RNA". The record is from RNAcentral. Lineage: Bacteria; Pseudomonadati; Pseudomonadota; Gammaproteobacteria; Enterobacterales; Enterobacteriaceae.
UUAAGCGACUAAGCGUACACGGUGGAUGCCCUGGCAGUCAGAGGCGAUGAAGGACGUGCUAAUCUGCGAUAAGCGUCGGUAAGGUGAUAUGAACCGUUAUAACCGGCGAUUUCCGAAUGGGGAAACCCAGUGUGUUUCGACACACUAUCAUUAACUGAAUCCAUAGGUUAAUGAGGCGAACCGGGGGAACUGAAACAUCUAAGUACCCCGAGGAAAAGAAAUCAACCGAGAUUCCCCCAGUAGCGGCGAGCGAACGGGGAGCAGCCCAGAGCCUGAAUCAGUGUGUGUGUUAGUGGAAGCGUCUGGAAAGGCGCGCGAUACAGGGUGACAGCCCCGUACACAAAAAUGCACAUGCUGUGAGCUCGAUGAGUAGGGCGGGACACGUGGUAUCCUGUCUGAAUAUGGGGGGACCAUCCUCCAAGGCUAAAUACUCCUGACUGACCGAUAGUGAACCAGUACCGUGAGGGAAAGGCGAAAAGAACCCCGGCGAGGGGAGUGAAAAAGAACCUGAAACCGUGUACGUACAAGCAGUGGGAGCACGCUUAGGCGUGUGACUGCGUACCUUUUGUAUAAUGGGUCAGCGACUUAUAUUCUGUAGCAAGGUUAACCGAAUAGGGGAGCCGAAGGGAAACCGAGUCUUAACUGGGCGUUAAGUUGCAGGGUAUAGACCCGAAACCCGGUGAUCUAGCCAUGGGCAGGUUGAAGGUUGGGUAACACUAACUGGAGGACCGAACCGACUAAUGUUGAAAAAUUAGCGGAUGACUUGUGGCUGGGGGUGAAAGGCCAAUCAAACCGGGAGAUAGCUGGUUCUCCCCGAAAGCUAUUUAGGUAGCGCCUCGUGAAUUCAUCUCCGGGGGUAGAGCACUGUUUCGGCAAGGGGGUCAUCCCGACUUACCAACCCGAUGCAAACUGCGAAUACCGGAGAAUGUUAUCACGGGAGACACACGGCGGGUGCUAACGUCCGUCGUGAAGAGGGAAACAACCCAGACCGCCAGCUAAGGUCCCAAAGUCAUGGUUAAGUGGGAAACGAUGUGGGAAGGCCCAGACAGCCAGGAUGUUGGCUUAGAAGCAGCCAUCAUUUAAAGAAAGCGUAAUAGCUCACUGGUCGAGUCGGCCUGCGCGGAAGAUGUAACGGGGCUAAACCAUGCACCGAAGCUGCGGCAGCGACACUAUGUGUUGUUGGGUAGGGGAGCGUUCUGUAAGCCUGUGAAGGUGUGCUGUGAGGCAUGCUGGAGGUAUCAGAAGUGCGAAUGCUGACAUAAGUAACGAUAAAGCGGGUGAAAAGCCCGCUCGCCGGAAGACCAAGGGUUCCUGUCCAACGUUAAUCGGGGCAGGGUGAGUCGACCCCUAAGGCGAGGCCGAAAGGCGUAGUCGAUGGGAAACAGGUUAAUAUUCCUGUACUUGGUGUUACUGCGAAGGGGGGACGGAGAAGGCUAUGUUGGCCGGGCGACGGUUGUCCCGGUUUAAGCGUGUAGGCUGGUUUUCCAGGCAAAUCCGGAAAAUCAAGGCUGAGGCGUGAUGACGAGGCACUACGGUGCUGAAGCAACAAAUGCCCUGCUUCCAGGAAAAGCCUCUAAGCAUCAGGUAACAUCAAAUCGUACCCCAAACCGACACAGGUGGUCAGGUAGAGAAUACCAAGGCGCUUGAGAGAACUCGGGUGAAGGAACUAGGCAAAAUGGUGCCGUAACUUCGGGAGAAGGCACGCUGAUAUGUAGGUGAAGUCCCUUGCGGAUGGAGCUGAAAUCAGUCGAAGAUACCAGCUGGCUGCAACUGUUUAUUAAAAACACAGCACUGUGCAAACACGAAAGUGGACGUAUACGGUGUGACGCCUGCCCGGUGCCGGAAGGUUAAUUGAUGGGGUCAGCGCAAGCGAAGCUCUUGAUCGAAGCCCCGGUAAACGGCGGCCGUAACUAUAACGGUCCUAAGGUAGCGAAAUUCCUUGUCGGGUAAGUUCCGACCUGCACGAAUGGCGUAAUGAUGGCCAGGCUGUCUCCACCCGAGACUCAGUGAAAUUGAACUCGCUGUGAAGAUGCAGUGUACCCGCGGCAAGACGGAAAGACCCCGUGAACCUUUACUAUAGCUUGACACUGAACAUUGAGCCUUGAUGUGUAGGAUAGGUGGGAGGCUUUGAAGUGUGGACGCCAGUCUGCAUGGAGCCGACCUUGAAAUACCACCCUUUAAUGUUUGAUGUUCUAACGUUGACCCGUAAUCCGGGUUGCGGACAGUGUCUGGUGGGUAGUUUGACUGGGGCGGUCUCCUCCUAAAGAGUAACGGAGGAGCACGAAGGUUGGCUAAUCCUGGUCGGACAUCAGGAGGUUAGUGCAAUGGCAUAAGCCAGCUUGACUGCGAGCGUGACGGCGCGAGCAGGUGCGAAAGCAGGUCAUAGUGAUCCGGUGGUUCUGAAUGGAAGGGCCAUCGCUCAACGGAUAAAAGGUACUCCGGGGAUAACAGGCUGAUACCGCCCAAGAGUUCAUAUCGACGGCGGUGUUUGGCACCUCGAUGUCGGCUCAUCACAUCCUGGGGCUGAAGUAGGUCCCAAGGGUAUGGCUGUUCGCCAUUUAAAGUGGUACGCGAGCUGGGUUUAGAACGUCGUGAGACAGUUCGGUCCCUAUCUGCCGUGGGCGCUGGAGAACUGAGGGGGGCUGCUCCUAGUACGAGAGGACCGGAGUGGACGCAUCACUGGUGUUCGGGUUGUCAUGCCAAUGGCACUGCCCGGUAGCUAAAUGCGGAAGAGAUAAGUGCUGAAAGCAUCUAAGCACGAAACUUGCCCCGAGAUGAGUUCUCCCUGACUCCUUGAGAGUCCUGAAGGAACGUUGAAGACGACGACGUUGAUAGGCCGGGUGUGUAAGCGCAGCGAUGCGUUGAGCUAACCGGUACUAAUGAACCGUGAGGCUUAACCUU